CGCCAAAUCACAAAGUCUCCUCCCUGUUUGUACUGUAAGGUCAAAACCCUACAGUACUACAGAGAACCCCAACAAUCAAAUGAUCCCCCUUUGAGCAAGCACUAGGCAACAGUGGGGAAGAAAAACUCCAUUUAACAGGAAGAAACUUCCAACGGAACCGGGCUCAGGAAGGGGCGGCCAUCCGCUGCAGCCGGUUGGGGGUGAUGGAAAUCAAAAAGGAGACGAGAUGGCAUGAACUACAGUUAUUAAAAUUUGGAUUUGAGGGCUGAUCUUUUGAAAUUUUAUGGUGAGUGUUUACAUUUUUGAUUUGGCAGGGCAGAGGGGAAAAGCCAAAAUGGUCAUUUUAAUCAUCGCUUUCCCUACAAUACAGAAAGCUUAUUAGCUGCUGGUUCGGCGAAACAGUCGUCCUACAGAUGAGAAAAACCGACGUAUGCGACUUGGUUUCUUGGGUAGUUUGACUGCCUCUUCUAUGAAAGUCACUGCAAUUAUGUUGUCACUGAGUGGGAGAUUUAAUUCCAUCAUUUGCAGAACUGUUUCUGCACUAUUCCACUUUUUACACAGCGCUUUGAAAAUCCUCUUGUAAAGCUUGUAGGGGUUCAUUAAGAGAAUUUCAUCAAAUUUAUCAUCAAUUUCAGCCCAGAUUUUGUUGGUAAGCCUAUUGUAGAUGGCUUCAACUUCUUCCCAACUGAUGACUUUGCCUGAUUUUUUUACCACCUGCUUAACCAGUUCUUCCAUACACAUUUCCAACAAAAAUCUGUAUUCGUUUCUGUUUUCUUUCUUGUCUAUUGGACUUCGGGGUUCAUCGGUUUGUGUUUUUUUGUGAUUUUGUAUUAAAAUAUUUUUCUUGUCAAUACAGCAGUUACAAGUGUGAUUAUGAAUUUCUUCUUCUGUAUUCGUCACAUUUACAGACGUCAGGGGCAUGGCAUUUUCUUUAGGCUCUGAAAUAACAGCUGACACACUGAUUGUCUCUUCCAUGUCGGAGUCAACUAUGUUGGAAUUCUGCAUGCAGCACAGACAGGGGCAAAACAGUCGACCUACAGAUGAG
Molecule: long non-coding RNA, 1045 nt
Organism: Oreochromis aureus
Lineage: Eukaryota; Metazoa; Chordata; Actinopteri; Cichliformes; Cichlidae
Source: Ensembl